CACUAAUUCUCCUACGUUGUUUAUGACUUGAUCAUAGCCUUCAUGUUCUACUAUCUCGCCAUCAAUUACAUCCACCUCCUUCCUCAACCUCUCUCGUACAUUGCCUGGUUGGUUUACUGGAUCUGUCAAUAGAUUAUAAAUAGUCUUCAAGCAAUUGAUAGGAGACCUGACAUUAUUGAUGGGUUGAAGAGACUUAAAUGUCGAACACUCAUAUUUGUUGGCGAGGACUCUCCUUUCCAUUCAGAGGCUGUUCACAUGACAUCAAAACUAGAUAGAAGAUAUAGUGCCUUAGUUGAGGUGCAACCCUUUUGAAUGCAAACCUUUUGAGUACGUGAUAUUUUCGCAUAUCGAUAUGGGAGCUUACUAUUGAUAUCAAAACAAGCUACAUUGUAUCUGUUUUUAUUUUUUUAUUUCUAUUGCCGAUAUUAAAAAUUUGAGUUCUUGAAUUUCAAAAAUUAUUAGUAUUGUUAAAGGUUAUUUUAUAUAUUUUUGUAAAUAAUAUUUGAUUGACAAUUUUUACAAGGUACAUAUAUUAUUCUUGGUAUAUGAUUUUUUGAAUGUGAAUUUGGAUGUGGAUGUGGAUGUGGAUGUGGAUGUGGAUGUGGAUGUAUUUUUAAAAAAUAUUAAUAAUUUGUAUAGGAAAUAUUUAAUAAAAUAUGAUUUUAUAAAAAAUAAUUUUAUUGCGACAAUAAUAAACCGUCGCUAAUGUAAUUCUCAUUUCCUUAUAUUUUAUUAACGACGAGUUAACCUGUCGCAUAUACAUAUUAGUUCCAAUC
Molecule: non-coding RNA, 776 nt
Organism: Camellia sinensis
Lineage: Eukaryota; Viridiplantae; Streptophyta; Magnoliopsida; Ericales; Theaceae
Source: RefSeq, a predicted model, not a curated record